Molecule: ribosomal RNA, 484 nt
Filed under: uncultured bacterium
Lineage: Bacteria
Description: partial 16S ribosomal RNA
Rfam family: Bacterial small subunit ribosomal RNA
Source: RNAcentral
AUUGAACGCUGGCGGCAUGCUUUACACAUGCAAGUCGAACGGCAGCGCGGGCUUCGGCCUGGCGGCGAGUGGCGAACGGGUGAGUAAUGCAUCGGAACGUGCCCAGUAGUGGGGGAUAGCCCGGCGAAAGCCGGAUUAAUACCGCAUACGACCUGAGGGUGAAAGCGGGGGACCGAAAGGCCUCGCGCUAUUGGAGCGUCCGAUGUCGGAUUAGCUAGUUGGUGGGGUAAAGGCUUACCAAGGCGACGAUCCGUAGCUGGUCUGAGAGGACGACCAGCCACACUGGGACUGAGACACGGCCCAGACUCCUACGGGAGGCAGCAGUGGGGAAUUUUGGACAAUGGGGGCAACCCUGAUCCAGCCAUGCCGCGUGCGGGAAGAAGGCCUUCGGGUUGUAAAGCGCUUUUGUUCGGGAAGAAAACCUCUGGGCUAAUACCCCGGGGGGAUGACGGUACCGGAAGAAUAAGCACCGGCUAACUACGUG